GCUUCUCAAUGCAGAACCGUCCCACUCUGCCUGCUCAACCUGUGCCCAGGUGUCUUCAAUUCCCACUCUCACAGAGCCCUCCUCCUCCCUCUCACACUGCCCUACUUGGGGCUAAUCAGGGCUCACUGUGGGAGUUCAGGGGAGCUGUUGAGUGUGGGCAGUAGGUAGUUGUGGGUAGUGAGAGUUCAGGGUAUUUCCUGGGGAGGGGAGCAAUCAAAUAUCAGAGAUCCCCUGGUACAAUAUUUCCUGCUUUCUCCUCCUAACCUCUGCCUCCUAUUCAGUGCAGGAGAGUGGGGUUUUUCAAUAAAGUUUCUGCAGGCUAGAAGAUCCACCUCCCUGCUGUAUGGUUUCCUUACCACCAUUGGAUAAGUAACAAGCCCAAGGUUGACCUGAAAUGAAGGCCCUUCUGGACCCUCUGACCUGAGGGAUCAACCCUGUCUUUCUUGAGCAGAGACACCUCCACAUGGCAAGCAGAGCCUGGUCUCUGGUGAAAAAGAUUGCAAUACUGGUUGCUGUGAAACUACCUGUUUUGCAAAAGAGUGGAGUUCAUUUUUCCAGUAGGAAUAACUGUGUUGCUUUAACAGUAGCAACACCCUAUGGCCCAAGAAACAAUUACUGAGUUUUCAGAAAUGGAUGCA
This 638-nucleotide long non-coding RNA is filed under the name Ornithorhynchus anatinus (platypus). RNAcentral's name for it is "lncRNA (ENSOANG00000036541.1)". The record is from RNAcentral. Lineage: Eukaryota; Metazoa; Chordata; Mammalia; Monotremata; Ornithorhynchidae.